This 355-nucleotide long non-coding RNA is filed under the name Setaria viridis. Its description in RNAcentral is "long non-coding RNA (SVIR_LNC009173)". The record is from RNAcentral. Lineage: Eukaryota; Viridiplantae; Streptophyta; Magnoliopsida; Poales; Poaceae.
CGCUCCUCACUGCUACGACGUCCUCGCCAUCCUAGCACCACUGCUCAACUGCCCUCACCACUGUUAAGCAUGCAUGACCGUCGCUCUCCUGGAUUUAUCUCCUCCCCACCCAACCAGCCUCCUCUCCCCUCUCCUAUUCUUCUUCCUUCUUCUUGCUUCGGCCAAGUCAAAGCAAAAUAGAGCCAAGCCGAGUAGGGCGCCUUCGCUGGCCAAAUCCACCACCCCUGCCUCGCCAUUUUCAAAUCGCCUCAGCCCAAAGCUGCCUCACCUUCCUAGCCACCUCCUCCACCUCUCCUUGCCCGGCACCAUGGCCCCAGUCAAUGGAGCCUUAGGUUCCAAUGCCGCCAUCGCUACC